RNAcentral lists this non-coding RNA (61 nucleotides) under Spodoptera frugiperda (fall armyworm). Lineage: Eukaryota; Metazoa; Arthropoda; Insecta; Lepidoptera; Noctuidae. The record is from RNAcentral.
AGCAAACACAGUAGUGUGCAAUGCUAAAGUCCACCAUGCAUGUACUUACUUUGUUUGUUCU